RNAcentral lists this non-coding RNA (268 nucleotides) under Halothermothrix orenii. RNAcentral describes it as "T-box sequence". It matches the Rfam family "T-box leader". From Rfam's summary of the family: Uncharged tRNA acts as the effector for transcription antitermination of genes in the T-box leader family. Lineage: Bacteria; Bacillati; Bacillota; Clostridia; Halanaerobiales; Halothermotrichaceae. The record is from RNAcentral.
UAAAAAGUGAUGAUGGGAGAGAGUAGACCAGUCUGACUGAUACAGAGAACCCCGGUAGCUGAGAAGGGGAAAGGGAUGCUGGUUGAAGAUGGUCCCUGAGCUUUCCAGUUGAAACCUGUUAAGAAGGGAGUAAACAGGAACGGGUUCCUCGCGCACCCGUUAACGUGCUAGAGUAUAAUCAGAUUUGCUGCCGUACUCGAUGAGGUCGGUGCUGUGAGGUACCGGUAAAAAGAGGUGGUACCACGGGAAUUUUACUCUCGUCCUCCUG